This 71-nucleotide transfer RNA is filed under the name Phrynosoma platyrhinos (Desert horned lizard). RNAcentral's name for it is "tRNA-OTHER". It matches the Rfam family "tRNA". From Rfam's summary of the family: Transfer RNA (tRNA) molecules are approximately 80 nucleotides in length. Their secondary structure includes four short double-helical elements and three loops (D, anti-codon, and T loops). Lineage: Eukaryota; Metazoa; Chordata; Lepidosauria; Squamata; Phrynosomatidae. The record is from RNAcentral.
GCCACCAUGGCAUAGUGGUUGAAGUGUUGGACUGUGACUCUGGAGACCAGGGUUUAAUUCCCUGUUUGGCC